CAGUAGCCGCGGUAAUACGUAGGGUGCGAGCGUUAAUCGGAAUUACUGGGCGUAAAGCGUGCGCAGGCGGUUGUGUAAGACAGGUGUGAAAUCCCCGGGCUUAACCUGGGAACUGCGCUUGUGACUGCACAGCUAGAGUAUGGCAGAGGGGGGUGGAAUUCCACGUGUAGCAGUGAAAUGCGUAGAGAUGUGGAGGAACACCGAUGGCGAAGACAGCCCCCUGGGCCAAUACUGACGCUCAUGCACGAAAGCGUGGGGAGCAAACAGGAUUAGAUACCCCUGUAGUCCCUGUCUCUUAUAC
Molecule: ribosomal RNA, 301 nt
Filed under: uncultured bacterium
Lineage: Bacteria
Description: partial 16S ribosomal RNA
Rfam family: Bacterial small subunit ribosomal RNA
Source: RNAcentral